GAAGCAGGCUCCAUGCACCGGGAGCCCGACGUGGGAUUCGAUCCCGGGUCUCCAGGAUCGCGCCCUGGGCCAAAGGCAGGCACCAAACCGCGGCGCCACCCAGGGAUCCCUGGAUGUUUUGAGUAUUAUCUAGGUGCUGAUGUCACAAAAUUACAUCUUUAUAUGCUGUAUAUCCAAAACCGUGUACACAUGAUUCAAUAUUUGCAUAUAUUAUGAAAUGGCCAUAAUGCAUACUCCUAACUACACUCCUGCAAAGAGAGAGAACCUGUACCUGAAGCAAGCCAGGGAAUAAUCUUUAUGAUGAAUCCUUUGAGAACAUACCUUGCAGGAACAUGGUAGGCCUGGUAGGAGUUGACUAGUUCCUGAUGAAGACGGCCACCUCGGAGCACUCCCAUACCCAGCUGAUGAAGCUCGACGGUGAGUCAGGUGUCAAAUUUGUUGUGGAGGCCAAGAAUCUGGGCAGGCAGCCCAAACUGGGAGAGGGCCUGAAGUAGCUGGCCAGGUCACCCCAAAGGGCGGGGCGUCACUGGACAACGGAGGGAGCCUAUCGUUUCACGGGCCAGGGAGGUGCACCUGGAGAUCUGGCCGAAAGGCCUGGAGGAGGCUCAGCACAUCAAGGAAUCCGACCCAGUCCUCUCGUACCAUGAAACUGCGCGGCGGGAGAGGAGUGUGCUCGAUCCGCCCAGGCCUCCCAACACGCAGCAGCGCGCGGCUGCCUCACUCAGAAGCACAAACACGCCGCGAAGACCUGCAAGAUCUGGUGUUUUCGGCCCACCGCCCGGACCCUGACAUUCUCACCCGCGGCACCAAGGGCGUCUAGUACUCCAGCAAGAUCAAGGACAGCGGGGCGGCCGUCGGACACCGGACACCGAGGAGGGGGCGCUGCGUGCGGCCAGCGCAUGUGACGUGCGCCCCGAC
This is a long non-coding RNA of Canis lupus familiaris (dog), 918 nucleotides long. RefSeq lists it as uncharacterized. The record is from RefSeq and is a predicted model, not a curated record. Lineage: Eukaryota; Metazoa; Chordata; Mammalia; Carnivora; Canidae. The transcript is spliced from 3 exons.